UGUGGGGAACCUGCCCCAUAGUCUGGGAUACCACUUGGAAACAGGUGCUAAUACCGGAUAAGAAAGCGGAUCGCAUGAUCAGCUUUUAAAAGGCGGCGUAAGCUGUCGCUAUGGGAUGGCCCCGCGGUGCAUUAGCUAGUUGGUAAGGUAAAGGCUUACCAAGGCGAUGAUGCAUAGCCGAGUUGAGAGACUGAUCGGCCACAUUGGGACUGAGACACGGCCCAAACUCCUACGGGAGGCAGCAGAC
Molecule: ribosomal RNA, 247 nt
Filed under: uncultured Lactobacillus sp.
Lineage: Bacteria; Bacillati; Bacillota; Bacilli; Lactobacillales; Lactobacillaceae
Description: partial 16S ribosomal RNA
Rfam family: Bacterial small subunit ribosomal RNA
Source: RNAcentral